This 253-nucleotide ribosomal RNA is filed under the name uncultured bacterium. RNAcentral's name for it is "partial 16S ribosomal RNA". It matches the Rfam family "Bacterial small subunit ribosomal RNA", at positions 524 to 776 of the family's 1533-position model. The record is from RNAcentral.
GACGAACUGUGCAAACGUUAUUCGGAAUCACUGGGCUUGAAGAGUGCGUAGGCGGUUUCGUAAGUCGGGUGUGAAAGCCCCCGGCUCAACCGGGGAACUGCGUCCUAAACUGCGGGGCUGGAGUGAGGUAGGGGUGUGUGGAACUUCCAGUGGAGCGGUGAAAUGUGUUGAUAUUGGAAGGAACGCCGGUGGCGAAAGCGACACACUGGGCCUUGUCUGACGCUGAGGCACGAAAGCCAGGGGAGCAAACGGG